UAUGAAGAACGUAGCGAAAUGCGAUAAGUAAUGUGAAUUGCAGAAUUCAGUGAAUCAUCGAAUCUUUGAACGCACAUUGCGCCCGCCAGUAUUCUGGCGGGCAUGCCUGUUCGAGCGUCAUUUCAACCAUCAAGCCCCCGGGCUUGUGUUGGGGACCUGCGGCUGCCGCAGGCCCUGAAAACCAGUGGCGGGCUCGCUAGUCACUCCGAGCGUAGUAGUUACAUCUCGCUCAGGGCGUGCUGCGGGUUCCGGCCGUUAAAAGCCUUUUACCCCAAGGUUGACCUCGGAUCAGGUAGGAAGACCCGCUGAACUUAAGCAUAUCAAUAAGCGGAGGA
This 335-nucleotide unclassified non-coding RNA is filed under the name soil metagenome. Its description in RNAcentral is "partial contains 5.8S ribosomal RNA, internal transcribed spacer 2, and large subunit ribosomal RNA". The stretch from base 2 to 120 matches the Rfam family "5.8S ribosomal RNA", at positions 36 to 154 of the family's 154-position model. The record is from RNAcentral.